UCCUUAGAUGUUCUGGGCUGCACGCGUGCUACAAUGGCGUUUCCAGCAAGUCUGCGAACCCGAGAGGGCCAGCGGAUCUUCGAAUUGGCGUCGUGAUCGGGACAGUCGAUUGCAAUUAUUUGACUCAAACGAGGAAUUCCUUGUAAUCGCGAUUCAUCAUAUCGCGCUGAAUACGUCCCUGCCCUUUGUACACACCGCCCGUCGCUCCUACCGAUUGAGCGAUCCGGUAAAUGUUUUGGAUUGGUGCCGGGGCGGCUAGCUGCCGGUCGCUACGAAAUUUUGUGAACCUUAUCGCUUAGAGGAAGGAAAAGUCGUAACA
Molecule: ribosomal RNA, 319 nt
Filed under: uncultured eukaryote
Lineage: Eukaryota
Description: partial 18S ribosomal RNA
Rfam family: Eukaryotic small subunit ribosomal RNA
Source: RNAcentral